UGACGUAGAAAAGGGGCAGAAGUGAAGAGCCGAAGACCAGCGACGAGGAGAGGACGACGUGGCCGCCACAGUGAGAUCAAGACCUGCCGUGAGCGACCGAGCCACUUAGGAGUUGGGAGGCGGCACUGAGGAGAGGAGACGCGAAGGAGAGGUCAGAGGAGAGGAGAAGAGACGGUCAGUGGUUGGCGGUCGGCAAUGUUCGAGAAGGAGAGGAGAGGAGACGCGGCAGUCAACAGUCGGCGGUCGGCGGUCGGCGAUGUUCGAGGGAGGAGACGAGACGAGAUGAGAUUUUUCACGGUGAGGACUGAGGAGUGAAGAGAAGAGGAGUUUUU
Molecule: long non-coding RNA, 332 nt
Filed under: Arachis ipaensis
Lineage: Eukaryota; Viridiplantae; Streptophyta; Magnoliopsida; Fabales; Fabaceae
Description: long non-coding RNA (AIPA_LNC001739)
Source: RNAcentral